RNAcentral lists this ribosomal RNA (310 nucleotides) under Paenibacillaceae bacterium CL5.42. RNAcentral's name for it is "bacterial SSU rRNA". It matches the Rfam family "Bacterial small subunit ribosomal RNA", at positions 193 to 490 of the family's 1533-position model. Lineage: Bacteria; Bacillati; Bacillota; Bacilli; Caryophanales; Paenibacillaceae. The record is from RNAcentral.
UGGAAUUGGGAAAGAUGGAGUAAUCUAUCGCUUAUAGAUGGACCCGCGGCGCAUUAGCUAGUUGGUGAGGUAACGGCUCACCAAGGCGACGAUGCGUAGCCGACCUGAGAGGGUGAUCGGCCACACUGGGACUGAGACACGGCCCAGACUCCUACGGGAGGCAGCAGUAGGGAAUCUUCCGCAAUGGACGAAAGUCUGACGGAGCAACGCCGCGUGAGUGAUGAAGGUUUUCGGAUCGUAAAGCUCUGUUGCCAGGGAAGAACACUUGGGAGAGUAACUGCUCUCAAGCUGACGGUACCUGAGAAGAAAG